Long non-coding RNA from Hippoglossus stenolepis (Pacific halibut), 968 nucleotides. RefSeq lists it as uncharacterized. NCBI's taxonomy places the organism in Eukaryota, Metazoa, Chordata, Actinopteri, Pleuronectiformes, Pleuronectidae. The transcript is spliced from 3 exons. The record is from RefSeq and is a predicted model, not a curated record.
GUCAGACUCUGCGCUGCGUCGUGACGUCAGAAACAAGCGACUCCCCCCCCGGAAGUGAGAAGAGAACGAAAACGCGUGUGGACAGAGCAGCUGACUGCACUGAGGAGUCCAGCUUCAUGACUGUCCCUGCCACCCAUUUUGUGCCUCUGGCUAGUCGUCCCCAUCCUCAUCAUCCCCACCAUCGUCAUCCUCGCUGGGCUGCGAACCAAACUCUCAGUUGUGGGAUAAAAUAGCCGUGAUGUCAUCUUUGUUAUCUUUUUCAGCGACUCUUGUUUUCAUCCUCUCCUUCCUCUCCUCCCUCGCUCUCUUUCUUUCUUUCUGUCUCUCUGAGCUCCCAAACACAAAAGACAGAGAGGCCUCGACAGGACCCCAGUGUAUGCUGGUUGUCAAGGAGACAAGAAGACAGUGUUGGGUCUUUAAACUGCCUCGGAGGGGUGUGUGGAGUUAGGGGGGAGUUGGCCUUAUUUACAUGGGAAGAGGACAAGAGAGAGAGAGGGGUUUUGAAAUACAACUUUUGAGCCGUUUCCCUGCAGCUCAUAAGACUCCAACCGCUGUUACUCGGCUAAAAUCAUUACACUGCUGCUCGGUCAUCAAAUAUUUACCAAGCCAGAGAAAAAAAUCUGGAGCUGUUCAUUAUGUGGAGAACGCCGUGCAUACAUAGCAAUGUAAAUCAACCUGUCUUCUCUCGUCGCACACGCCCAUGCACACACAUUUGGAUCGUAGGCGCUGGGAGCUCUGGGCCCCAGUCGUAGCAAAUGGAGAGAGUCUGACUGCAGAAUGCAUUUCCAGAUGCUUGAAGAGUGUUUCAUACCAGAUUUGGGGAACAAGAGGAAAAAAAUGCAAAACUUGACUACAAAAUAGGAAAAACAGAGAGAGAGGAGUACACACCCAUUCAAACGCACACGCAUGGACCACCACCCAUCCCUCUCCACAACAUAUUUCUUUUUUAUUCUCUCUCUCUCUCUCUC